GGGUCGUUAACUCAGUAGGUAGAGUAGCUGCCUUUUAAGCAGCGAGUCGAAGGUUCGAAUCCUUCACGACCCACCA
This 76-nucleotide transfer RNA is filed under the name Desulfovibrio sp. OttesenSCG-928-I05. RNAcentral's name for it is "tRNA-Lys". It matches the Rfam family "tRNA". From Rfam's summary of the family: Transfer RNA (tRNA) molecules are approximately 80 nucleotides in length. Their secondary structure includes four short double-helical elements and three loops (D, anti-codon, and T loops). Further hydrogen bonds mediate the characteristic L-shaped molecular structure. tRNAs have two regions of fundamental functional importance: the anti-codon, which is responsible for specific mRNA codon recognition, and the 3' end, to which the tRNAs corresponding amino acid is attached (by aminoacyl-tRNA synthetases). tRNAs cope with the degeneracy of the genetic code in two manners: having more than one tRNA (with a specific anti-codon) for a particular amino acid; and 'wobble' base-pairing, i.e. permitting non-standard base-pairing at the 3rd anti-codon position. The record is from RNAcentral. Lineage: Bacteria; Pseudomonadati; Thermodesulfobacteriota; Desulfovibrionia; Desulfovibrionales; Desulfovibrionaceae.